RNAcentral lists this long non-coding RNA (33186 nucleotides) under Ananas comosus (pineapple). RNAcentral's name for it is "long non-coding RNA (ACOM_LNC030011)". The record is from RNAcentral. Lineage: Eukaryota; Viridiplantae; Streptophyta; Magnoliopsida; Poales; Bromeliaceae.
AUUUAGAAAUCUGUUAGGAGGAUUUCAUUAUAGUUCUUCUCCGAGAGUGUUACUAAAACAAUAGUUCAUUGAACUGCACUAUGCCUUACAACAGGACCAAACAUGCCCUAAAUCUUAAAGAAACCAAAAGACAGAAAGGGUAGUGAAAAGAGAGAUUAAUCCUCUUUAUGAUGACAGGGAAAUCUUAUGAACUUAUCAGCUUCCAAGCCCAGGAACCAGAUGCAGCCGUCUUCCUUUCUUCAGGAACAGAAUCAAAAGUUGGUACGUAUUCUUGGGAAUUAAUACUCAGGCAAAUGAGUUACGAUUAUCAAUCAACAUUUUAGAAGAACUUUAGAUGGCCAUAUGUCUGUGCCUUUUUUGAGGUUUUUAUUUCCAUUUAGUGCAAGCAUUGGAUUAACAUAAACACAUCUGUAUUUGUUGCCACUUUUUGGCAUACGAAUGUGCUCAGUGUCCGACUAUUGCAUUAUAUUUCAAUGACAUUGUUAAAGAAUGUGAAACAAGCGUUGUUCUCCAAAUGCCUAAGAUACCAUAGAACGGUGUUUUUGUAUUUUUAUAUUCAACACUCCUCGUCACGUUUGGGCUCGCUCGAGACAUUUUGAUAGGUCCAAUACGCGAAAUUAAAUUAAAUGAGAGAAAAUUAAACGAAGCAAGGAGCCUGGCUAGACUCAAAAUCUCUCUCCUGCUCUGAUAUCAUGUUAAAUGAAAUUAAACAACCGAUUUUGUCCAAAAAGCUUAAGUUACCAGAGAACGGUGUUUUUAUAUUUUUAUAUUCAACAGAUAUUAUAAUAUGAAUAUGCGGCAAAAAAAACAUAUGAAUUCAAAAUAUUUAAGUCACCAAAAUGGCAUUUUCAUUCAUGUUUAAGACUUUUAAUUAGUAUCUCCUCAAAGUGCUAAUACUAGUAUUUGCUGUUCCCUUUAUUUUUCACGUUGGGAAGUUUUUCUCUCAAGAAAUAAGAAACCAGGCAUAAAUUUUCUUCUUUUACUCAACAUUGUUUUUUAGUAAUCUGUUGAUUGGUUCUAAGCUAAUGCAAUUAAUCUUGAUAUGCCUUGCUUUAUUUAUUUGCUGCUCCAGUGGGGAAGAUUUCACGCCGUGUUUGUUUAGUCCAUUAUCCAGAACCAGAAGAAUUGGAGAAACCUGGUUUUGGUGCCCUUAAUCUAAGUAGUCAGAGAUCCGAAGGUAAGUACUCCGCUAACAAAUGAAUCUCGUUAACAAUGCUAUCAUGCUGAUUCCCAAAUUUUUGCUCAAUUUGUGACCAUUUAAAGUGCACUCAAAUCGUAUCAGAUAGAUGUUCAAUUCUGGACUGUUUACUUAUUCUCAUUAGGACAAAAAUUAUAUGAUGAGCUCCUCGUCGAUGAUCGAAUGAAAUCGGCUCCGAAGCUGUCCCAUGUCCUUAUUAUCUCCAUCGCCCACUCAAUUACACCCAUUUUCUUUAUUUAGAAAAAUUAUUUCUUAUCAAAAGUUGGUUGAAUGGUUAGAUUGGAAGCAUAGUUGGGAUUGAUGUCAUUCAAUCCCUUAUGAUCAUCUAACAGGAUCUCCUCGUGAAAAUUUCUUGCCCUUUAAUCAGAGUUGUGAUUCCACUAGGUUUUGUUGCGUUGAAGGUCAACUCGAACUCAACCCUAACCUGACCCGACCAAUUGGAUCUUGCGGUGGGUUGAGGAUGGGCUGAGAUGGGUUGGGUUUGAUCGGUUCAGUUUACAAAUGUAAAUGUUUAAGAACUCGAAGUUCAUUCAUUCUCUUGAAUACUAAGCAGUGGCUAAUCUUUUCCAUCGAUGAUUUUCUUCUAAUCUAAAAUUUGAUGAGUGUAUUGUGGUAUCACUCUCACCUUCUCUGAUAUAUUAUGGGUAAGUUCGAGUUUUGGGUUUGUUGUUAACUGUAACCUGACGUAAAUGUGAUUGUCAAAUCCUACAUAGCUUGAUGUUUAAAGUUGGCGAACCUGGGUUGGGAUUCGACCCGAGUUGCGAUAGAUACAAGUGACUACUCUUUUUCAUUAUGUCGCAGGUUCUUUCAGAAAAAGCAUGUCCCGGUAUUCUACAACCCCGUCAAAACACGGAAGCGUUUCGAGGGCCGAAGGAAUGUCUCAUAAUACCCUAGCUUCGGCACAAAGUGCUGCUAAAAAAAUCAGAGGAUCUUCUGACAAAUACAAGCAGAAGAGGGACGAGGCUGCAACAGCGCCUUCUGAGAUAUCCGAAAAGUUUUCGGGCCGUUCUUCUUCUCAUGCUUCUGUAGAAAGCCAAAUGACUAAGAACACCGCAUUAGAGGCCGAGGGGUCUACCCCCGAGAAGUCCGCGAAGAAGAAGAGAAAGAAGAUCAAGGUCGAGGAGUAGCGAGCACUUUUUACGUAUUUCGGUUCUUCUUUUUGCGGAUCACAAAGAGCAAAUUUUGAUGUGCGAAUUGGUCGAGAGCGCAAAAAUAUGUAUUUCGGAACAGGGAAUUUGUAUUUGAAAUUUGGCUUGUUUAGCCAAUUAAUCAUAAAUGUAUUUUUGUUUUCUGAUGUGGUUUGGCAUAAGUAGUUGUUGUGUCAAAGCUUACUAAUAUUAUUAAUAUUAAUGUUGCAUAAAUAAAUGGCUGUUCUUGUUACUUAUUUUUUCUGAGUUGAUAGAGAGAGAAAUUGUUGUUUAGCUCCCUAAUCUUCUAUGAUUUUGAUCUGUUGAGAUCGGUCCUGGGAACUGCUGAUCAAUCUUAAUGGGCGGUUCAUAAUUUUUUGUGAAAAAUGAAAAAUGUAUAGAAGCUAUGCCUAUAGAAAUGUUAUUAAUGAUAUUAAUUAAUCAUCCAAUGAGAAGCUUUGUGUUUUUAAAUGGUCAUGUAUUAUUCUGAUACAAGUAUAAGAUGAGUUUCAUAUGUUCCAUUAUAAAGUACACAAAAUUUUCAUAGCCUUCUAGGUAAACAUGUGAACUAAAAGAAUUAUUUAUUCAUGCAUUUUUAUGUGAAUAAUUUGUAAAUACCCAAAGAAUAUGCUAACCAUAAGUAGGGAUGUCAAUGGGUAUGGACACUCGAAAUUUUAUCCGAACCCGAACCCGAAUGAAACGGAUAUAUUCGAUGCUAAAUGGAUAUGGAUUCAUAUAUGGAUAUUAAAAAUAAAAAUCCGAUGGAUAUGGAUUCAGAUAUGGAUUUUGACUGUACCCGAUCCGAACCUGAACCCGACCCGAACCCGAAUUUAUUUUGUAUUAUAUAUAAUAUAUAUAUAAAAAUUUGAUGUUAUAUUUGAAUUUGUAUUUUAAAAAUUUAGAUUUAAUAUAAUAUAUUUUGAAAUAUUGAAAAAAAAAUAAUUGUUUGGGGUUCAAAUUUUCGGGUUUGGGUUCGGGUUCGGGUUUUGGAUUUUUGGUCGGGUUCGGGUUUAAAUAUGAAUUUUUAAAACCCGUCGGGUUUGGAUCUUGGGUUUGAAGUCGGGUUCCGGUUCGGGUGCUUGAAAAUCCGCCCCGCAUCCGAUCCGUUGACAUCUCUAACCAUAAGAGAGAGAGAGAGAAAUGGUCAACUAAAAACCAUCCAUUAAACUUGGUCAAACACUAAACUCUCUCUCUAAAUCCACUCUCCACCACACAAAUCCCAUGCUAAAACAGGUUUGCACCAACUUAUUAAUUCCACCCACUAAGUUAAUCCCAAAGCUAAGCCAGCCUCAAAAAAUUAAUCCUUAACUACUACUACUAUUGCAAACUCUCUCUCCCUUCCCAAUCCUCCAAUUCAAACUUACUUGGAAAGAACAAAAAAAAAAAAAAAAAAAAAAACCAAGAGGAGGGAAUUUCAAAAUGGCCAAGCUCCACGCCGUCGUCGCCGCUCUCUUCUUCGCCCUCGCGGGCUCCACAUUCGCUGCUCCGGUCCCCGAUUUCGUCGUCGAGGGCCGCGUUUAUUGUGACACGUGCCGCGCUGGAUUCGAGACCAGCGCCACCGAGUACAUCGAAGGUUAUAACAGCGUCUCGAACAAACAUGAACUGAACUGAACUGAACUGAACUGAACGUCCUCUCGAUUUCGUUUAUACGAAAUACUAAACUACUGUUCUGUUCUCUAGCUGCUUAAGCUUUUAAGGAAAGUACGUAACGGUUGUUGUUGUUGUUGUUGUUGUAUGUUGUUGUGAUGUUAUUGUAGGUGCGAAGGUGCGGCUGGAGUGCAAGCACUUUGCGACGGGGGCGGUGGAGCACGCGGUGGAGGGGGUGACCGACAAGACCGGGACGUACAAGAUCGCGCUGACGGACAACCACGAGGAGGAGAUCUGCGAGGUGGUGCUGGUGGACAGCCCGCUGGCCGGGUGCUCCGAGGUGACUCCCGGGCGCGAGCGCGCGCGCGUCCUCCUCACGCAGGACAGCGGGAUCGCCACCAACGUGCGCUACGCCAACCCCCUCGGCUUCCUCAAAGAGCAGCCCCUCCCUGUCUGCGGCACCCUGCUGCAGCAGUAUGCGCUCGGCGACGACGAAUGAGAGACAGAGAAAGAGAGAGCACAAAAGAAGUGAGAGUGAGCAAAAGAGGCUGCUGCUUCAGUCACUGAUGAUUCUGAUUCAUCUCUUCUGGUGUCACCCAGAGUUUUUCAAAUAAACUACUCUCAGCAUGGAUAUAUAUAUAUAUAUAAAUAUCUAUAUAUAUUCAUCACAUCCUAAUGAUGUGAACCAUUACCCUUUUCUCUGUUUCUCUUCACUCACAGAGUGAGAAGAGAGAGAGAGGAGUUUGAUGUAAUUGUAUCCAUGUUAAUGCUGACAAUAUGCUGGUGACUUUAUCUAUUAAAUUUUGCGAUUUUUCGGUUGCUCAAAAAUGAAUAGCUCUUGCCAUAGCACACACAAUUUAAAGAGAGAGAGAAAUUGAACACAAUGAUGAUCACAUAGCAUGUUAAGAAGAUUAUGUAGAAAAGGACUAAUUGGAUGAUUCUAAUCUCGUAUUUUUCUAACCUGAUUUGCUUCCUCAACAACACACAAUUAUUGUCAGUAAAAAGUUAAUAGUAACAUCAGAAACACACAAUGACAAGAGAGAAAGCAUGAGACAAAUUGAACCACCAAAUGAAACCACUAAGAUUGAUACCAUGGACAAAUAAAAUGUAAUAUUUUGUAAUAACAUUGAUCUUCGAAAUAGUGUCAUUUAUACGCAAAAUUACAACCAUACAACAUGAGAGAGAGAGAGAGAGAGACAGAGAGAGAGAGAGAGAGAGAUUAAUCUCCACAUAGCUAUAUGACAACAUCACCAAAGAAUUUCUCAACGGAAACGAAAAAUUUACACUUUCUUGAAACUAAAACUUAGGCAGGUAAGAGUAUAGUAGUAACAGUUAAACUUUUUUUUUCUGAGUUUCGAACCGAACCCUUUUUUUUCCCUCUACCAAGGUUUCAAAUCUCCCACGGGUCCUGCGGUCCAGUUGAGAACCUUGUUGCCCGGGCUCAAGUAUAUGCUCUUAUCGUGCGGAAGCUUCCGGGCGAGCCCGUUGAGUAUCUGAUGGAACGCGUCUCCGGGCUGACCCGGUUGCGGGAAAAGCAUGGCCUGCUUCAUCGAAGGGUUGGCGAGUAAUCUCUGCUUCCUCAGUAUAACUUCGGUCGGUAUCGAUGUCAGGAUUUUGUCCAAGUUCGGGACGUCCUUUUCGGCGACAAAUACCCCGAUUUCUUCCCAAGGGAUAGCAUCUGCAAAAGGGAGGACGAUGUCGUCGGCGAUGAUGACGGGAAUGCACCCGAAAACGACCCCCUCCACCAACCGCGGGCUCCACGGGGCCCAGCCCAGCGGGCACAGGCAGAAGACGGCCCGCUGCAUGUCCUCAUAGUAGGUAGUUGGGUGGUCGGCCGAGAUGUCGAAGAGCGGGUUGUUCUUGAAGUUCUCCCAUAUCGACGCUCGCGCUCCUCUGUAAAAGUCAAAUUUUUUUUGGUGCCAAAAGUUAGUGUUUAGUAUGAUUAGAUACAUAUGCUCUAGGGGACAUGGUGGUUAAAUAAUUCCAAAAGUUUAAUGAUAAGUUAGUUGAGCUACUAAUUUGGUCACCUAACUCUUCGUCUUUUAUUAGUUCGAGUCGGAAUCUCUAAACAAAUUUACCAAAAUGAUAUAAAAGAGUAAGCGGACGCCACAUAAUUUGAUAUCUACAGAGAAUUAGAUGUUUUACCUUGCAUAGUAGCCGCCCUCGGGGUCGUUCCCGACAUCGUAAAACAAACCACGAAAAUAGACAAAGAUAGAACGAGGAAUGUCGGGAGGAAUCAAAUGGGCCUGCAUUUUCUGUGGCGGGGCGUAAGGAGGUAUAGUGAUGGAGCCCUCCUUCAAACACACGUGAUUGCUUUGCCCGAAAGUUUGAACGAGUGUCGCACGUUUAAGCAACGGGAGGAUUCCUCGUUCAAUUGCUUUCUCUUCCUACAAUCGGCAGCGUAAUGAUUAUAUAAGCAACUUCAUUAGAUCGAGAAAGGAGAAUCGUUUGGACACGGAAAUUCCUGAAAUUUAGUUUUUCGAAUUCGAAACCCUUCCUAACAUAUUUUUAGGUUUCAGAAAAUUCCAAAGAAUCUGUAACUUUCUCGAUGGCGCCCAUAUUUGACAUAAUUUUGAGAAGUUAAAAGCUGCAAAAAGCAUACGAGAGCCGUUAUAAUUUGUUUCACCUGAUAGUGAAAGCAGGCCCCAAAAUCAUGCGGAACAACGAAGAAGUGGUCGGCCCCCUCAGUUCGGUUCCAAUAAGGCCAACUAGUCGAAAUAAGCUUUAUUGCACUUCUCAUCAUUCGCGGUGAUUUAAAGGGCAAGGGGAGUCCAUUCGGGGUCAGGUCGCAAGUCGUGUAAACAGGCGUGUAGAACCAGUCGGCCUCUUCCGGAUUGAGGGUUCUAACCGGACUAGAAAGCAAAAACCGAUGCAUGAAGAUCUCGGCGGCGAACAUGUGCGUGAGGCAUCUCGGAUCCUUUUGCACGAUCUUUUUGUUGUAUUUGCUGGGAAGUUCAUACACAAACACCUUCAACCUUCCAACCGGGUCAUCUUCGAGCACAUCGCCGGCGCUUCCUAUGAUUGAAAACUUUGAGGUGUUAAUGCAAACAUAUAAGCCUUAACAAAGAGAACCCAAAUGAUUAAAACACUAAUUGAGAAACUCAAGCUUAAUUAAUCUUGUUGUUGAGCUAAUUUGGUGGACAAACUGAGUUGAGAUAAUAAAUAGUUGCGCAUUUCUAAAUGGAAAUGUGCUACUUUAGAAAUCAUUUAAUGGAAAAGGAAUGUAACAUGCAAUUUGAAGUUCCUCUAACUAAAGAACUAGAUUUGCGGCAGCUAAAGAGGAAAAGAACAGGAGAAUACGCGAAAUAAGAUUCAUUUGGCUCUCAGAAAAAUUAUGUUUUUUUUUUUUUUUUUUUUUCCGAAUUGUCGAUUAUACGAAUUAGUUAAGGGAAAUACUAGGAACACUUAGAAUUUUUGUAUGAAAACAAGGACACUACCCUGUGUAAUUGUUCUUUAAAUUGCAAAAUGUUAAAUUUCCUAAAUUAAGACAAAAUCUAAUUAAAUAAAUGAACAUAUAUAAUCACAUUUCAGUGCCACAUCCUCCUCAAACCUUAAAUUGCACCAAAAAAAUGUCACAAAAAAGAAAAAACUAGAUCUAAUGAACAGCCCAAAAGGGGAGGCAAUAUCAUAUAUAAAACCCUGCAAAGUUUGGAAAUUUCACAUCAAAUUCCCAAAUAAUAGUAAAUCUAAACAUUUUAAUAGCACCAAAUUUGUUAAUCGAAGAGGUAUUACUAUAACCACUUCUCACAAUUAGAUCAAAAGCCCUAAAACAUAACGACGGAGCACAAUUAGCUCGCUAAACCCCUUGCUACAAAUCGAUUAAUUAAGCGAAUUAAUCCAUAAAAAUCAUAAUUUGGAGCCGAAUCAACCAGAAACAAACUAAAAGGUAACGAUAUAAACGAAACCCUAAUUCGAAAUCGAAGCAAUUAAACACAAAAAAAAUGCCCCCCCAAAACCCACCUGAAAUCCGCUCCGUGCGGUGGCUCCCCUCCCCCUCCGCGACACCAAUUCGCGCAAAAACACCAUGAAGGAUCAAAAUCGAGAGCACCCACACGCGAAACCCCAUGAUUCACCCAAAUCACCGCCAAAUUGGGGUGGGGAAAUUGGAGGUGGGUGUGCGAUGACUCGGGGAGACUCGAUCCCUCCCCCCACGCAGCAAUAAAGGCUAGGGUUUGGUGAGGUGUCCGCGUAGAGAGAGAGAGAGAGAGUGAGAGAGAGUGGUUGGAGAGAGGCUUUUUCGUAGAAAGAGAGAUUUUUAUUAGGUGAGAGCUGAGGAGGAAGACGAAGGUAAAAUUGCACGGAUGCCCCUCAACUGUAAGAAAUUGUGAAAUCGCCCUCUCAAUCUUUUUGUUUUUUUCUUUUUUUUUUACAUAAAAAUGUAUGAACAACAUGUCAACAUGUCAACUUCAUUCUUUUAAAUUCAAAACUUUUUGAUUUUUUUUGACGUAAGUGAUUAUAGUCAAUUAUGUUUGAAAUUUCACUAAAUUUGACCAAUCAUUUGGUCAAAUUUAUUCAUUCUAAUCACUAAUUAUUAAAAAAAUUAAUAUAUUUAAUAAUUAAUAACUAAGGUCUCGUUCAGCAUCGUUACUAUUUUUUAUUUUUUUAAAUAUUCAUUCUAUAUGCUUCGAUAUAAGAAUUUUUUAAAAAUAUUGAAAAUUUUAAAAAGUCGUUUUCGUAAUUUUAUUUUUUAUUAUCAAAUAAAUAUCUUAGAUAAACAAAUUGUAAAUAAUUCACUGUACUCCUAUAAUAUAAAAAAUUAUUAAAAAAUAAAAAAUAAAUACUGAUAUUUGAGCAAUUCUAGUUAGUAAAAUUAAAACUCAUAUUAAUAAUAAUUAUGUUAUCCCUUAGACACUAAAAAAGAGUUAAAACUAUGUAAUUUGAUAAAUUACUGAUAAGUUAGAAUUUUUAAUUUCAUUAAUUAAAAAUUAAGUAGGUGUUAACAAAAAAAAAAAAACAAAGGGCCAGUCCAAAGGUGGGUAUCAAAAUACUAUAUACUUAAGGGGCUUAUGUGCAAUUUUACGAAGAAAGAGGAGGUGACACGGAAUGAAUUGUGAUAGAUCGGAGGUCAACUUCGUUACCUAACAAAAAAGGAAAGGAAUAUUUUCGGUGUAACAGUUAUAUGUCACGGCUUGUUGAGUAUGACAUGUGGGGCCCACAAGAGGCUUAUAUAUUGUAUCCCCGUUACACUGAAAAUCGUCGGUGGAGAGAAGGGUUGGUCUUUUAGCAUGUUGGUCCCUAAAACUUAUGUUAUUUUCUGGGUAGUACCCAGUUUUGUUUCUACGCUUCAAAAAUGUACAAAUUUAAACCCGGAAAUUUGACGCGAAUUUUAAUUCAGGCCAUAAAGGUGUCAAUUUUAAGAAAUUUGGUUCUUAAUUUUGCCAAAAAUAUCAAUUAUGAUGAAGAGAGAAAUUUUUUUUAUUUAUAUUAAAAAUAAAUUUGCUGUAAUUUCUGGCUCAAAAUUUCUGUGUAAUUGAGUCUCACUGUCCAAUUUAGUCGACUAAAUAUUGACGUACUGUUAAUAUGAUAUUUUAAUAAUUUCUGCAUUAUCGUCAAUCACAAUACUGAUAUGUCACUUCAUAUAAUCGAAUAUUAAUAUUUAGUCAACUAAAUUGAAUCAUAGAAUAAAAUUUAAGUUAGAUAUUUUAAUAAAUUAAAGUUUGAGGAUCAAAAUGUUACAUACUUCAUAGUUUGAGGACCAAAAGCGCGACUUGACAUUUUGAGUAAUAAAAAGGACCAAAAUAAAUUUGUGAAAAAUGUUGAGGGGGUGUGCAAAAGGAGAAGCAUGUGCUUAACACCGUGUUCGUGAGAUAUCCAUUUUUGACUAAAUAUUUAUUCAAAUAAUAAUAAUAAUAAUAAUAAUAAUAAUAAUAAUAAUAAUAAAUGUAAAUAUUAUUAUAUCAAGGUUGUUUAAUAUAAGUUUACGAAGACACCCGUCAACUAUAGCGAUUUUGAAAUGACUCCCUCAAUAUUUUUUUCUUCUUUUUUUGUCGACGUAUUCUCCUAAUUUUUUAAUAUAUUUUUGAAAUUUGCUGGCGAUUUUGUUGAAUUUAAUAGCUUCGAUCAAUUUUUAGCAAUUAAAAAUUGCAAAAAUCAAUAACUCAGAGCUUGUUUGAAUAUCUUGUAAUUUCAUCGUGCCGUAAUCAUAUACUGUGACAAUAAUAAGCAAAUUCCGAAAUUCAUAUGUUUGAGCUCUUUUUUAUUUUCACAAUAAAUUUACAGUAAUUUUGAAUUAUUUAAAAAAAUAUGCAAGCACCCUUUUGUAAAUAAGUCACAAUUAUUUUGUAGGGCAUUUGUUUAUAAUUCAAAUUCAAAUCAUAUAAUGGAAUUCCAACUUUGAAUUCAAAUUGGAACUAAAUUUAUGCUUGAAGUUAAAAUUUGGACCAUGAAUUCAAAGUUAAAUCCAUAAUUCAAAUGAAAUAUUCAAAACUGGAUAUGUCGACAGAUUCAAAUUUAAAAUGCGUGUUUUUUUUUUAAUAUAAUUACUAAAAUAAUAUAAAUGAAAAAGAAUUAGAAGUAAUGAUAUAAAGUUUGGGGCCCUACAAUUGAAAUUUUUUGGUACACCUCCACUUAAAUGUAAUUAAAGUUGCUGUCUAAUGGAAAGUGACAUGUAACUCCUUUGAAAAAAAAAAAAAACAACAACAAUUAAAUAAAAAUAAAAAACAAAAAAUUGAAUAAGCCAAAUAAAUGAGGAAAUUUUGGGGGAAAAAAAAAGUGUUUAUAAUAAUAACAAGUGUGCCCCUACCUGAAUUGCUUUCUCUGGAAUCUAGGCAUGAUCUUGUGCACUGAAAUUAAAGCUGCUGGUGGGUCCCACACCCUAACAAACUCUUCUUAAAAAUACAUAAUAUUAUAAUUUUAUAAAUAAAUCCACUUUCAGUGGAAAGCUCCCGAACGACGCCCGAUCAGAGAGUCUCUGAUUCGCUAUUAUAUAUCAAUUUUACCUUCAUACAAUAGUUCGAUGGUAGUUUGUAAACCAAAGCUCAGAAAAAAUUUUAAAUUUUAGAUAAAAAAAAUUAUAAUAUUUGGAUAGAGAUAAAAAUGACAUGUGGCAAUAGAUCGGGGCUUCUUAACGAGGCGUUGUUGGAGAGCUCCUUAUUGAAGUUUUUUUCAAGUAAUAAGCUGUUAAAAAAAGAGAAAAAAGAAAAAGAAACUUCAGUGGGGAGCUCGCUAAUGAUAGCUCAUUGAGAAGCUCCCGUCCCUGAUAAUGACCGGCUUUGACUCUAACCAAGAGUUAUAAUCGUUUCCUCUCAGGUUUUUUUUUUUUUUUUUUGAAUUUUAAUACUUAGAGGAUCAAAGAUACAUUUGAAUGAAAGUAAAAUUAACAUGUGAUAACGGAUCAAAGGCUCCCCUACGAGGCGGUCGUUGAGAAGUGUUGGAAGCGUGAUUUUCUCCGAUACAAAUUGUUGGAAUCGGUAAUUAUACUAAUGCCGAUUAUGUAGAAUAAAAUAAUAUGAAGAAAAAAAUAUUGGCGAAGAAAGAAAAAAAAAUAAACUAAUACUUUAUUAAUAAAAAAAAAUUUAAUUACACCUUACACAACACCCUCGGUCUUAUGUAGUCAUGUUUACUCUGGCUUAUUCAUCUAAUUAACUUAUGUUUAACUAUAUAUAGCUAUCAAGUUAUAACAUAUAAUAAAUUCAAUUUUUACUUUGGAUAAUUACAAAUCUUAUUCUAAUUGCAUAAACUUUUAAAUAUAAUCAAUAUAUAAUCUGGAUAUACUCGAUUUCUAACUAAAUUUUAAAUUAAGUUUGGAUUAUUAUUUCCAUCAAGGAGCUCUCCAUUAAAAUUUUAUCCCUUAAGAAGAAGUAGAUCGAAAGCUCGAAGCCCCGUAACCUAACCUAACCUAUGAUAAAAAUCUAUGCGUCUUUACCAAUAAAGUUUUAGGUAAUUUGAAAAUAGACCACUCAACAAUUUUUCGUUUUAUAAUUUUUUUAAAAAAAUCAAGUGUUUUCAUAACUAAGUUAAAAAUUUUGUUAUAUUUGUUGCUCAUUUGGCUAUUAUACUUUAUUAAUUUAACUUUUUUACAAAAAAAUAAUUUAAACUACCAAAUUUGAAAAAAUAAUAAGUUUUUAAAAUUUAUUUAAUAAAAUUAUUUGAUUUUAAAAGAUUUAAAAGUUGCGAAAGCCUUAAUAAAAGAAAUAUAGUCGAGGGGUCUAUAUCAAAAUAUUCUAUGAUAAAGUUGCUUUUUUUUUUUUAAUUUUAUUUUUUUUGUACCUUAUGAAUGACAUGAGCUAACAACCAAAUGUGACAACGUACCCGACAAUCUUUUAUCUUAUAUUAUUAUUAAUAGGAAUAAAAUUGUCCUUUACAUCUAUUUUUUCUAAAUUAUAAAAUCACUUUUUAAUUUUUUAUUCUAUUUAACUAUAUAAAUUAUUAAAUUUUUUUAAAUAGAUGAAUUGUUUAACAUUUUUCGAAACAAGAGCGACGAACAAUUCAGUACUUUUUUUUUUCUUUGUACAUAAUUCCAAUCGAGAACUUAAUAAUAUUAAAUUUGUAGAUAAAUUUUAUAAAAAAUUAGAUCACCAAAUAUAAAAUUUUCAAAAAUUAUUACAUAUAAAAAAAGCCACUUUUCUUGUAGAAAUUAUGUUUGAUAAAAACCUUUGACAAAUCCAAAAUAAACAGUACACAUCAAAUCAAAGCCUUUUAGUUACAGUAUUUAAGAAAUAAUUGCUUNUUUAACUAUAUAAAUUAUUAAUUUUUUUUAAAUAGAUGAAUUGUUUAACACUUUUCGGAACAAGAGCGACGAACAAUUCAGUACUUUUUUUUUUUUUUUUUGUACAUAAUUCUAAUCGAGAACUUAAUAAUAUUAAAUUUGUAGAUAAAUUUUAUAAAAAAUUAGAUCACCAGAUAUAAAAUUUUCAAAAAUUAUUUACAUAUAAAAAAAACCAGUUUUCUUGUAGAAAUUAUGUUUGAUAAAAACCUUUGACAAAUCCAAAAUAAACAGUACACAUCAAAUCAAAGCCUUUUAGUUACAGUAUUUAAGAAAUAAUUGCUUUUUUUUUAUGUACUAAUUUAUGUACUAAUUUUUGAUGUUACGUGAUAACAUUUUGGAAUCACCAUAUGUUUUUGUCGCAUUUUCUUAGUCCUUACGAAAACAUCAUCAUCAGAAGACGCAACAAACAUGAAAGUGAGACAUUAAAAUCGUCUUAAAAUGGAGACAAAACCAAUUAAUCAAUUGUUGUCACACAUAAUGCGACAAUUUAUCUUUAACAAUAUAAUCACUUAAAAACAAGAAAGUAUGUACAUUGAGAAUAUAUAUAUAUAUAUAUUAUAUAUAUAUAUAUGAAUUAGGCUACUAUACUAUCUAUAGUACCCGAGCUCCGGUACUAUAGUGUUUGUUUCAUUAGGGCGUUCAAAUCAACGAUUCACCGCGUUAAUAUGAUCUAGGUGUAUAUGAAGUUUCUUAGAAAAUAAAAUUUUAGUUUUUUCGAUACUCGUUACUUAGUAAAUAAAUUAUAUCAAAAUGGACGGUGAAAAUUGAAUAAUCUUUAAAAUUUGAGUAUAGGACUUUUAAAUUUAAGAUCAAGAAUGUUAACCUUAAUCUAUAUAGUUUAAAGUAUUUCUAUCAAAAUUUGAAGAAAUUUAGAUUCUUCUACACCGUUAAACUCCAAAUCGUCAUAAUAGCCAUUGAAAAUUGACAAUUUUGAAUAGUUUGAUCAAUAGAGUAAACUAUGUCGAAAAAAAUAUAAAUUUUAUUUCUAGAAAACUUUAAAUAGCCUAGAUCAGUUUUAAACGGUGUGGGAUCGUUGAUUUGAACGCCCUAAGAUCGAAAACCAAACUAUAGUACGGAGCUCGACUAUAGAUAGUAACCAGCCUAGCUCUAUAUAAUAUAUAAUAUAUAUAUAUAUAUAUAUUAAUAUAUAUAUAGAGCUAGGCUGGUAUACUAUCGUAGCAUACUAAGUUGUUUUCAAUGAUGCGGCUUCCAAAUCGACAAUCGCUCCGUUAACUUGAUCUACAUAUUAAAAGUAUUGUGGAAACUAAAUUUUCAUAAUUUUCGGUAUCAUUACAUAUCAACGAAUAUCUAAAAUGAACGGCUGAAAAUAAAAAUCUCAUAAAAUAGAUGAUAGAAAACUUGAAUUUAAGAUCAGAUGUAUUGAUCUUAUCAGAAUAUUGAUCUUACUCUAAAUAGAAAAAAAAUUUUCUAUAAAAAUUUUCAUCUGAUUUAGAUUGUUUUACACCGUUAAAUUUAGAAUGCAUCACAUCUACCAAUUAAAAUUGUUCAAUUGAGAGAUCUAGUUUGAUUCACUAGCCAAGAUGAAUGUGAAACAUAUGAUAUUAAUUUCAAUACUUUAAUAGUGUAGAUCAAGUCUAACGGAGCCGAUCGUCGAUUCGAAAGUCCGAACAUCGAAAACAAAGUGGCCCUCCGUGCUUCCAUAAGCAUACCAGCCCACUCUAUAUAUAUAUAUAGUAGGAUUACUGUACUCUUAUUAUGAGUAUAGAGUUUUUCGUACCCAUAAGUUAUUUUCGAUGAUAGAUUUUCUGAAUGAACGAUCCAUACCGGUAAAUAUGAUCUAGAAAAUUUGAAACUUCUAAAAUCAAAUUUCAUAAUUUUUUAAAAUUAUAAUAAAGUCUAUCAAGAUUAUAUAAAAUGAACGGUCAAAAUCGAACGACCUCCUAAAAUUAGAGAAUUGAAUUCUUUAAUUUAAUAUCGGAGUUAUUGUUCUUUAUCUAGAUAGUGAAUAAAAUUUUCUAUAAAAAAUUCAACCUAUUUCGAGACUUUUACACUGUUAAACUAACAACUAUCCCAUAUCGGCUGUUAAAAGUUGUUAAUUUUGAGAUUUUUUUUUAUCGUAAGGUAAAUGAUGUUAAAAAAUUAUAAAAUUUAGUUUUUAGAAAUUUUAAAUGUUCUAGAUAAUAUUUAAUGAUAUGAAUCAUUGAUUAAAAAUUCUAUCAUCGAAAACAGCUUAUGAGUACGAAAGCGAUCAUACUCAUAAAAGCAUCAUAGCCAUACUCUUUGUAUACGCAUUAUGUUACUCUAAAGAUAAUUUAUAUUUUAUAGGAUGAUUUUAUAUAUCAUUCUAUAUACCAAAAUGUGAGAUUGUUGGCUCGAAGGGUCAGUACCAUACCACAUGGUGGUAGAUUAGAAUGAACCGAAUCACAUUUGAAAUAACAGAAGGUCAAAUUAGAUCGAAUCAUGUUCGAAGUGAUGAAUCACAGUCGAAAUAACGAGAGGUCGAAUUGGAUCGAAUCAUGUUCAAAGCGAUGAAUCACAGUCGAGACCCGUAGGCGUUAAGGUCGCAUUAUUGAGGUGAGAUGGAUCCAGAAAAAAAAGAUGGUUUCCAUGGUUGGGAAGGUCAUAGUAGCAAAAGCUAUUGGAAUUGAUAUUUUAAUCUGCAUACUUCAAAUAAAUUGAUUCUAUCUUUCAAACAAAUCGAGCUUUUAGAAUUAAUGAUUAGCACCAACGAUCCAACAAAAAUUCUCUCAAAUGUUGAAAAAAAUUAUAUUUAAAAAGUGAUUGUUUAAAAUUAUUUUCUUCGACUGCUGCAGUAAAAUUGUUCCAAUACUGAAGUUGAGCCUUCUGUUCUCAACUAAAGCAGUAGCUAGAUUUAAAUAUAUCAAAUGAAAUGCCAAACAAUGCAGGUACAACCACGUACUACCAAACAGCCCCUAAAAGGUAAAAAAUUAAGUCGUAACUGGAUCCGCGCAAUCGGUGAAACGUAAUAUUAUUCUUAUGAAAACAAAUAAUAUAUAUACUAGAGCUAGGCUGGUAUACUAUCGGUAGCACGGAGGCAUUCGUGCUACCAAGUUGUUUUUAAUGUUGCGGUUUUCAAAUCGACGAUCGGCUCCAUUAGACUUGAUCUACAUUAUUGAAAAUAUUUGAAAACUAAAUUUCAUAAUUUUUCGGUAUCAUUUACCUAUCAAACGAAUAGUCUAAAAUGAACGGCUGAAAAUAAAAAUCUCAUAAAAAAUAAUGAUAAAAGACUUGAAUUUAAGAUGAGAUGUGAUGAUUUUACUCUAAAUAGUGAAAAAAAAAUCUAUAAAAAUUUUACCAUAUUUGAAUUGUUUUACACUGUUAAACUCACAAACGCAUCACAUCUAUCAUUAAAAUUGUCAAUUUUGAGACAUUUUGAUCACUAGCCAAAUGAUGUCGAAAAAUUAUGAAAUUUAGUUUGCAAAUAUUUUUAAUAGUGUAGAUCAAGUCUAACGGAGCCGAUCGUCGAUUUGGAAGCCGCAUCAUUGAAAACAACUUGGUAGCACGGAGGCUUCCGUGCUACCGAUAGUAUACCAGCCUAGCUCAUGUAUACUAUACUAUUUAUUGCACUUUCUUGGAGCAUGUAAAUGUCGAGGAAAUGUCUAAGUUGCUAAGUUUAUGUUUAUCUUAUAAUCCUUCUCACAAGUUAUGAAAAACCAAGAGAUACCAAACCAAACAUAAAUGCCAUCAAGUAAGAAACAGAAGAGCUGCUAAAAAUUCAAGUAAUUAAACAUCUAAAACAUAAAUACAAAAACACUUGUGAUUGAUAAUUACCACAGUUGCAAUAUGCCAGAAACAUGAGACAACACUUAUUCCAGAGUUCAAAACCAGAAUAACACUGGCUUAUAUAUAUUUAAAAAUGUUUUAAAAAAGAGAGAGCCAAAGGGUUCAUUAUCUCAAGCAUGCAAAAAGGGGUCUUAAGAAGGAAAACAUAUUCACCUACUCAACAUAGUGAUGGUGUAGGUAGGCUAAGUAAGAUCAACCGACAAUCAGCUUGUUCUCAUCCACGAAGGUGUAGGUGGGUACCUCCAAGUUGUACGGCGCGGGGCCCUUCCGGAUCCUUCCGGAAAUGUCGUAGUGCGAGCCAUGGCAGGGGCAGAACCAGCCUCCAAAGUCGCCCGCGUUGGGGAGCGGGAUGCAGCCGAGGUGAGUGCACACGCCGACGACGAUGAGCCACUCGGGAUUCUUCACCCGCUCUGCGUCCGGCUGCGGGUCCCGAAGGGACUGCAGGUCGACGGUGUUCGCGAGCUUGAUGUCUUCCUCGGUGCGGCGGCGGAUGAAGACGGGCUUGCCCCGCCACUUGACGGUGACGGUGGCCCCAGGCUCGAUGUUGGAGAGGUCGACUUCGAGGGAGGCGAGGGCGAGCACAUCCUUGGUGGCGGACAUGCUCAGGACGAACUUGAGGAUGAGGAGGCGGAGGAGGGAGGCGUAGACGAAGCGGCCACCGGUGAGGACGAAGUAGGCAAAGGCGCGCUUGCUGGGAUCGCCGGGAGGGUACCGCUCGUGGUUGUGCUCGUCGUAAGUGAUUUUGGAACUAGGAUUCUUCACAGCUGCCACAGUUGCUGGGAGGUCGGCCAGGCCGAGGUCCCCCCCAUGCCUUGGGACAAGGGUUUCAGUGGCAAAGCCUGCAGCUAAUAGUCAGUAUUUACAACAGAGAACUAUCUCAAAAAGAUGGAGAACUAAAAUUGUUGCCCGAUGUCAUUUAAAAGAAUGAACUCUUCCUAUUCAGCGGAAUCAAUUAUGAUUUGAAGAGCUAAAUCAGGUUAAAAAGUAAACUACGAAAAGAUAAAACCAAGAUUAUAGGAUCUCAUCGCAAAACUUGACCAGCUAAAAAGUUUUUAAUAGAUGUGGUCAAGCAAAAUCUUAGAUAACCCUUUCACUUCCAUAUGUACAUCAACUUUCCUAACUAAAUGAGAACAAAUGCAUUUAAAAACUGCAAGCUGGCAAAAAUAAGCUCUAUCUUCGCAAUUAGGCUUCCAUGUUUGUUAAAAGUAGUUAGUUCUUCAUGGAUAAAUAUUGAGACAUCAGGUCAUUACCCAUCUUUUUGCUGAGUUGGAAAUAGCUAAUAAGAUUUCAUUGCCGUACAACAUGGGAAUUUUGAAUACAAUAGCUUUUUAUUAUAUGAGAGAUAAAGCUAUCAACAAUGAGAAAGUACAAAGAAAACAAUUUUCUAAGACGAAAAAUAGACCAUAAUAUAGUACAUGCCUCCAAGAGGAAAUCAUACAACUCCCAGAAUCAAACUUUCUCGAUGCGACAUGCUAAUCACCAUAAUCCAAAAAUAAGCAUGUUCUACCACAGCGUCCAUGACUGUCUAGAACAGAACAUUUCAUAUUUGUAAUGAAUAAAUCAUAUUUCUAAUAAACAUAAAACAAGUUGUUCAAACAAUAAAAGAGGAAACAGCUUCAAGCGAAACGUCGAGUUGGGAAGAAUCAGGCAUCCGGGCAUUUUGUCUUACACAUUGACACUUACACAUUGACAUAUAAUAAUUACUAUGACAAUGCCCUUGGUUAGUUUGCAUUGAUACAAAUUUUCAUGCUAUGCUCAAAAGCUGAGUAAGUCAUCAUAUACUAUCAUAUAUAUAUAUCUAAUUUUGGAAGCAUGGUUCCAAUUGAACCAUAAGAUGCCACGUGGCGCACUUACAUGAAAAGUUCUAAUGUACCACGUGGCGCACUUAUCAUAAUAUAUAUUUUUUAAACUUAUCAUAAUAUAUUUUUUAGUUCACAAAUAUUUUAUAUAUAUAUAUAUAUAUAUAUAUUAUCAUUAUCAUGCGCACUUAUCAUAAGCAUAACUACACGUACCAAAAAAUAACUGCACAGCAGUUUUUUUUUUCCUUAACCGUAUGACAGUUAUUUUUUUUUGUAAACUGCACAACAGUUAUUUUUUUUUUCUUAACCAAACAACAGUUAUUUUUUCCCUAAACCACACAACAGUUUUUUUUUUUUUUUAACCGCACAACAGUUAUUUUUUUUUCCCUUUUUUCUUUGAUUGUGAGGUAUAUUCAUCUUUCACAGUUAAUAUCUAAAACGUUACAAAUUUUAUCAUCCAUAUAUAUGUAUUACAAGUGAAUGCCAUUAUUUUAUUAAUAUUAUCAUCCAUAUGUAUGAUAGAUGGAGACAGACUUAUUUUCUAUCUUUAUGCACCAUCUUUCUACAAAAGGCAAGUUUAUUCAAAAUUUGAAAAUAAUUACGUGUAAUGAUUUGGUCUGUUUGUAAUGUAUAUAUUAUCUUCUCUUUUUUUUUUCAGGAUACAUAUCACUAUCUUUGGAUUUCGUCAUAGUAUUGAAAUUUUCAGAGCGCAUAAAUAUUUGCCCCUAUCCCAAGAAAUACUCAAUAAUUACUUUUGGGAGGUAUGUUUGAUAUUUAUAUUUAAGUUUUUGAUUGAUUUGUUGAAAAUAAUUGAUAAACAUACAUGACUAAUUAUUCACAAUAACAAGAACUUUUUAGUUUAAAGAAAUCAUAAUAUGAAUCAUGCUUCACAAGUUCUAAAAAAUUACUUUCCAAAUUUAGUCACUUAAAAUUCUUCAAAAAAUAAGUUUACAAAAUUAGUCAUAAAGAAUUUGAAAUAAGAUUAAUUAUAUAUAAAUAAUAAUUAUGUUAAAUUUCUAAUGGAUUUGAACCUUUUUACUUCUUCAUUUUAAAAUCUUUUUAUUUUAAAUUAUUUACUUACAUUCUAUUAGUAUAUCAUGAUAGUAUUAUUUUAAUUUGAUUCAAUAAUUUUUCUAAUAAUAAAAGCUUAAUAUGAAAAAAUUAAUAUAUAUUAUAUAAAAGUUGUCAUAAAAAGAUAUUAAAAAAACUUAAUAUGUAAAAAUUAAUAUUAUAUAUUAUAUAAAAGAUGUAAUUAAAAGAUAAAAUUAAAAUCCGUGCAUUGCACGGGUUAGUUGCUAGUUUAAACAAAAAGCAAAGCACAUGUACUUUGAACUAGAGCUACAGUAAGGGAAAUUAGAAAGAUGAGCAAUAUUCACUAAGUUGCAACAAUCCAGGAUAAUUAUGCAUUCUAUUUUAACAAAAAGCAAAACACAUUUCACUUUGAAGUAAAACUACAGCUAGGGGAAUUUGAAAACAAGUAAAAUUCACUAAUUUGCAAGAACAUAUAUAUGAAAUAAAGGUUAUGAGUGAUCAUCUACAAUGAUCGGUCAUAAAUGCAAUAAUGUCAACUCAAGCACUAGAAGCAUGUGCUCGGUUAGAUCUAUCUUAAUAGCAGCUGUAACAACUACAAAGGAAAAAGAUUUUGUGCAUCCAGCAUAACGUUGACAGUUGAGUCGAUUGAAUCAAAUGAUGAAACAUCAUAUGCCGUCCAUUUCAUAUUCUGCGGUUAUUCCGAAGUUAAGAUCCGGACCAAAUCCAUUUUAUUUGGAACGGCUCUAAUGAGUGUAACUCAACAUUUAGGGAGCUUCUCCACAACGUGAAACAAUCUUUGCAAGUAAUAAUGUAAAAUAUUGUUUAACCGAUGAAAAUCAGUUUAUGCCUGAUGUCACACCUGUCCUUUAUAUUUCCUUUUUUUUCUUUUACUGUUCUCAUAAGGAUCUAGAAUUUAAUUUAAAUAACGUGAAAUUGAAUCAAGAUGACAUUUUAUGCGUGAACUAAAUUCAUAUGAUAAAAACUUGAGCGUUAAUGGCUCACCCAGAGGGACUUAUGCGCGAAAGUUCAAGCUAAUCUGAUAAUCGGACUUAUGGGUGAGUGGAAAUCAACUUACAUAAAUCAAGCUGCAAGGUAUUGAAUCCACAGGGGCUUCAUAUGAAAACAUGGAAAAUGUUGGGAAAAUUAGAAAACAAACCCAACCAUAUGAAGGAGCGGGUUUGCGCUUAUGUCCAAUUAGGGUAAAUUUAGGAUUUUGGAUUUCUCUCUAUUCAAUUAGAUUAUGCUUUGGUAGGGAUUAACACAGUAAAUGAGAUGAAGGAAAAUGAAAGAUGUAAGUGACACAGCACAUAUGCCAUCAACUACAACAACAAACCAUUUCUGAACGAAGAUGAACAAAAGCAUGGGCAAAUUUACCAAUACUAUGCGUGAGCACAUAUUUACCAUUUCUCAGCAACGGAUUAGAGAUUCUUAUUCAAAUUACUGGAACAAAGUGGCAUAUUACGCGGUUCGUGAACUACAUGCAUAAAUUAAUCAUAAAGAGAAGCAUAAAAAAGCAUCAAUAGCUACAAUCAGAACAAAAGCACAACGAAUUGGGCAUAAAUUAAUCAAAUUUGAUGCACAAAAGCAGCGAAUCAACCAAUCCCUAGAAAAUCCCGAUACGAGCAGGAUCCAAAUCGAAAGAAAGAGAUGAAAAGAUGAAGCCCUAACCUCUCGGAGCACCAAGCAGCCCGGAUCGGAAGGCGAUGAGGGGAUUCGAGAGGUCGCGCGAGCUCGAAUCGUCCACGGAGAAAGGGGGCGGGUCGGAAGCGUUGAUGGGGUUGCGGGAGACGAGGACGGAGGAGGCGGUGCUCGGGCGCCAUGCGAGGGCGGAGGCGAGCCUUCUCCCUGCGACCCUCAACAUCGUCGUCCACCUCUUCUUCCCCCUCUUCCUCUUCUUCUUCUUCUUCUUCUUCGAGGAGAGCAAUGGCGAGGGGGGAUCCGAUUUCUAGGGUUUCGAUCGAGAUCGAGGUGGGGAGAGAGAGAGAGAGGAGAGAGAGAGCGAGGGGGUAAUGCGACGGAAAAUGGGGCACAAAAUUGGUGGGGACAUCCCGCAACGAGGGAGAUAUCCCAUCACCCGUCGAUCACUCGGCGGGCGCGAAUUUUAAAGCUUGAUGAACGGCCGAUGGAGUGGUCUCACGCUGAGGCAAAUCCCCACCAAAUAUUUUGGGGAAAAGGCGGUGGGGUGGAGUUGUUAAUGGGCCGAUCCACGUCACAAUUGGGCUUAUAUUUAAGAUGUAGGAGACAUUCAAACAAACAGGCCCAAUAAGAUUUUCUUUUUUUUUUUUUAAUAUAUAUUUGAAACAUUGUGAACUGGAAAAAAAAAAAAGAAAAAAGAAAAAAAAAAUUUAGGCUAUGUUUGGAAUUGCAAGAAGAAUACAUUGUGUAUCGUGAAAAAGUGCAAUGUAAAAAUAUUUCGUUUGCUUCUGUUAAAGAUAUCACAUUGUGUAAAUCUCGUUGAUUUAAUUACGUUAUAAUUUUUACAAUCUCAGCGAACAAACGGAGGAGCAUAUCUCUCUACAUAAUCUUAAAAAACUAAUUACUUUUUCAGUCCAAAUUCUACACUCGUCUACUUCCACCCGCUGAAAAUGAGCAAUUAUGCAAAGCCAAGAUGGGCCGAGUCGGGCCUCGGAUGAUGCACAUCUAGUUGUUGAUUUCUCAGGCUUUGGACUCACUCGGGCCGGAUUGAGGCCGAAUUCGACCCGACUCUACUAACACCUAGAAACUUCUUUCUCUCUCUUACUGUAUAAUAAAAUUGUUAUCUUUCUCCACAAGCUCAGAUGUGUGUUAACACAUUAGAUAGAUCUCAGACGCGGACUUGAAUUUCAAUGAAAGAAAAAGAAAAACACUAAAUAAGGCAAGUAAUUGUGAAAGCUUUUUCCUAUAGCAGAUUCAGACGUUUCGAGAGAUGAGUUCGUAGCUUCUGCUGUUUCAUUCUAAUAAUACUAUUUUUGUUGGCUUAAAUAGACCAAUAUUCUGCCAUGUGGCAGGAGGUCAUAUUGGGCUGAAUCAUGUUUGAAAUGGUGUGAGGCUAGGUGGGCCUAGUCAUGUUCGAAGUGGCGCGAGGCUGAUUGGGCCGAGUCACAAUCAAGACCCAUGAGCACUGUUUCUGUACACUUUAAGUGAAUUGGUUGCGUAUUUCUAACAACUCGAGCUUUUGGAAUUAAUGGUUAGCGCCAAUGAUACACAAGUGAUAUCAAAACAAGAGGUCAUGGGUUCGAUUUCCGCAUGCUACGAAUGUGUCCAGAUGCUAGAGGGGAGAUUGUGCAUACUACCAUAUGGCGGGAGGUCAUGUUGGGCCGAUUGGGUCGAAACCCAUGGGCGCUGUAUCUAUACGCUUUAAGUGAAGUAGUUUCGUAUUUCUAACAGCUUGAAUUUUUGAGAUUAAUGAUUAGCGUCAACGAUCGGACAGUUAUGACUUAUGAUUUCAUACUAUGAUUGAAAAUUAAAAUUUUUUAUCUCUCAAAAAAGAAAAAUUAAAAUUUUUUAUUUAUCAAAUGCUCGCACGAUUUAUUUAAUGAAUCAAAUGGAAUCAUUUGUCACUUAUGCAACUUUCGAAAAUGUGGAGCAUGAGAUAAUGGGAGUGGUACACUGCUAUAUCACUGUAUAGAUGAGGAAGCACUAUCCACAUUUGUGAUCACAUUUUUGUUGUGGUGUGAAGUACCAAAUAUAUAAUUGGAAUUCUCUCUCCUCUCUCUCUCAAAAUAAAAAUAAAAAAUAAAAAAUAAAAAAUAAAAAAAUAAAAAAUAAAAAAGUGAUAGGUUCAAAGGAUUUGAACACUUUUUCAUACUUUUUCAGUUGAGUCGACGGUGCCUAACACUGACACAUUCUCAUAUGCCAUGCUUCUCUCUUCAUGUGUGUACUAUAAUAAUAAUAAAAUAAUAAUAAUAUAAUAAUAAUAAUAAUAAUAAUAAUAAUAAUAAUAAAAGGAUUAAUGGGUAGUCAUUAUUCAAUAAAUUUUUACUAGAGUUUGUGGAAUGAUUUAUUUGGACUUUUUUGUCGAGCAAAUUUACUAAUUAAACAGCUGUACGUACCGGUGACAAAUCUUAGAAACUAACUUUUUUUUGUUUUUAUGAAUAAAAAUAAAGUAUAAGAAUUGAAGAAUACAAAGUAUAUAGGAAAAACUUCAAAAACCACCCCUGUAAUUUUAUACUUUUUUAUUUUAGUACUUAUAAUUUAAAGUGUAUCAAGUUAGUACCAUGUGGUUUCCACUUUACACUUCAGUACCCUGUGAUUUAAAGUGUAUCAAAUUAGUAUCAUGUGGUUUUAUUUUUGUAUCAAGUUAGUACCCUGUGAUUUUUAAACCAUAGGGUACUAAAGUGAUAAAGUGUGAAACCACAGGGUACUAACUUGAUACACUUUAAACCACAGGGCACUAAAAUGAAAAAGUGCAAAACCACAGAAUACUAACUUGAUACACUUUAAAUCAUAUGGUACUGAAGUGAGAAAAAGUUAAACCACAAGGGGGAAUUUGAAGUUUUCCCAAAAAUAUAUGUGAGAAGAUAUAUUUAAUGUGCUUUUAGGCCUCUUUUGUCGAGCAAAUUUACUAAUUAACAGCUGUACAUGCUGGUGACAUAUCUUACAAAUUUAUUUUUUUUUGUUUUUAUGAAUAAAAAUAAAGUAUAAAAAUUGAAGAAUACAAAGAAUACAAAGAAUAUACUUGAAAAGAUAUAUUUAAUGUGCUCUUAGGCUCCAUGAUAUUUUCAUUAGUAAGUUCGCUUGCAGUGAAAGCUGAGUUAAUGAACUAUUUGAUAAUAUUUAAGAGAUCUAAUUGUCAAAAUUAAAAGUUUAUAAAUUUAUUUAUAGAAUCUCCAGAGUUCAGAAAAUAUCCUCACAUUUUUCUUAAAUAAGAAUAAUAAAAACAACAGUUAAAAACAUGGACAAAGGGGGAAAAAAAAAAAAGGACAAAUUCAACCCCUAAUCCAAUUAACAUUUUGAAAAUUCAAACAGGAGCAAUCCACUUUGUUUUUAUCUUUAGUAAGAUGCUCUGAUUCAUGUGACAGUACUGAUUGGUUGGCACGUCGAUACAACAAUAUUUUGCAGGCCUGUUUGGCUUGACUUCUGUAGUUGAUACGAAUCAUAGAAGAUAGGCCAAAGGAAAAUGUUUGGCUCGACAGUCGACAUAGAGCAUUGCUGUGCAGUGGGCUAGCCUGUUACACAGUAGGGCCAAAUUAACAGUUCUUAUUUGCUAGAUCUAUAUAUUUAGAGAGAGAGAGAGAGAGAGAGAUAGGCUCUUGUGCUUUCGAAAGUAUGAAAGGCCUCUGUAUUUAUAAGUCAUUUUUUAUGAUAGGACAUUCGGUUCGGCGAUCGAUUUCGUUAGACAUUCGGUUAGGCUAUUGGAACUAUCCAGAAACCAAAUUUCAUAGUUUUUACUUCAUUUAUCUAGUGAACGAUCAAAUAGUUUCAAAAUGAACAGCUGAAAAUAAAAAUCUCAUAAAAAAUAGUAAUAAAAGACUCAAAUUUCAAAUUAGAAGUAUUGAUCUUACUAAUUGAUGUUAAUUAAAUAGAAUUUUUUAUUAAAGUUUCAUGUAAUUUAAUUUUUUCUACACCGUUGAACUGAAAAACAUGCUAUAUCGACCGUUAAAAUAGUCAUUUUUGACACCUUUUAAUCACUUAAUAAAUGAUGUCGAAAAAUUAUGAAAUUUGAUUUUUAAAUAGUUUCAAUAACGUAGAUUAUGUUUAACGAACCCGAUUAUCGAAUCAGAUGCCCUAUUAUCGAAAAUAACUUAUAAGUACGGAGACCUUCAUAUUUAUAUAUAUAUUACGAGCUAUUUUACUCAAGCUUUUGAGUUUGGAAUCUUCAGAAAGAUGGAGAUGGGGUAGGCCCCAUGCAAACUUGAAUUUCACAUCAGAUAAAAACAUGCAUGCAUUAUAUAUAUUGCUUUUGUUUUUUUAGGAGAUUAUAUAUAUUGCAUACUUAGGACUGAGAAAAUGAAACUAAGGCAAAAGUUCAUGAAAAUAACACAAACUUUGGAUCAUUCGAUAACCAUCAUUCAACUUUUAAAAAUUCUGAUUCUGUUACCUAACUUUUUAACUCUUAUUAGGUUUCAGCAUCGUGCGAAAUUAUUGUUCGCACUAUUUCAUUCUCAAUAAGUAGAAAAAAAUGAUAGUAGAUAAUGUUGCUUCAAAUUGGAUAAAAUUUUCUAAUUUAAUUAAAUAAGAUCACUCACUUGCAAAACAUACACUGUUAAGUGGAUGUGAAACACUAUUUUUGGUACAAAUUGAUCAGCCUCUGAUAAGGACUAGCUAGUACAAUAAUCAAUUCCCACCUCUUUAUAUGUAGCCACCAAUUAUUUUACCACAGUAAUUAAUAAAUAUAUUUAAUUCCAAAGUUAAAUAUAGAUUAAAUCUUAAUUAAUUAAUUAAUUAAUUAAUAUAUAUAUAAGGAAUUUGCCAUAUUAUAACAGUGAUAUAUAUAUAUAUAUAUAUAUAUAUAUAUAUAUAUAUAUAUAUAUUUUAUCAAACAAUAUCAUAUCCUACGGAUAAGAGGGUCAAUAAGCCUUAUAUAUGUAGAGUUUUGUUCAAACAAAAACUCUAAUUUAAUAACUAUUUAUUAUUAUUUAUUUAUUUCCAAAACAAAUAACUUAAAUGCCGUGUCAUAGACCACGUACGAGUUAGUAUGUAGGAUGUGUAAACGUGUCAUGUGACAAGAGGGACAAAUAUAUAUAUAUAUAUAUAUAUAUAUAGAGAGAGAGAGAGAGAGAGUUGGAUUGAGCUACUAUUAGUAGCAAAAUCUCAAUAUUACUACCAGUUUUUUAGCCUUUGGAUCAACUCUUUUCGUUAUUUCUAACCAUUGGAUUAAAUACUAUAACCCAGUGGGGACCACUCAACCCUAGGGGAACCACUCAACUCUAACCGACUAAUAUCAUCCCGACCUUACAAUUUUUCAUCUAAGGGUUAAAAACUUGAUAGCAAAAAGAACGUUUUACAUUAAUAGUUCCAGCUAAUUAUCUAUUAUAAUAUAUAUAUAUUUAUAUAAUAUAAUAUUAUAUAUAUAUAUAUAUAUAAUAAAUAAUAUAUAGGGUAGGCUGUAUACUAUCAGUAGCACGGAGGCUUCCGUGCUACCAAGUUGUUUUCAAUGAUACGGCUUCCAAAUCGACGAUCGGCUCUGUUAGACUUGAUCUAUACUAUUACAAGUAUUUGGAAACUAAAUUUUAUAAUUUUUCGAAAUCAUUUGGUUAGUGAUCAAAAUGUUUCAAAAUUGAUAAUUUUAAUGGUAGAUGUGAUGCGCUUGUGAAUUUAACGGUGUAAACAAUCCAAAAAUGAUAAAAUUUUUAUAGAGAUUUUUUUUUACUAUUUAGUAUAAGAUCAGUACCUUGGAUCUUAAAUUAAAGUCUUUUAUCAUUAUUUUUUAUGAAAUUUUUAUUUUCAGCCAUUUAUUUUUAGACUACUCGUUUGAUAGAUUAAUGAUGCCGAAAAAUUAUAAAUUUAGCUUCCAAAUACUUUCAAUAGUGUAGAUUAAGUCUAACGGAGCCGAUCGUCGAUUUAGAAGCCGCAUCAUUGAAAACAACUUGGUAGCAUGGAAGCCUCCGUGCUACUGAUAGUAUAUCAGCCUAGCUCGCUCUCUCUCUCUCUCUCUCUCUCUCUCUAUAUAUAUAUAUAUAUAAUGAGAAGAAGCUUUGGAUAUAUAUUAGGGGAUGCUGCGAAUAAUUGCACGAAGAUUAAAGCAAGCGAACCUCCGAGAAGUUUGAUAGAGCUUCUAACUUUUAACGGAAAAAAAAAAAAAAAGCAGCCAAGAGAUAUUGCUGAUUAUUAUAAUCGCUUGCAAAAUUAUUCCGCGCACCCGGUGCAUCUGUACAUCUGUGCACCGUCCCUGCUAUCCUAAUCUCAUCAUAUUUGAUAGAUCAGGUUUGGAGGCUUUUGAUCGAAUUGCGUUACGCACAGUGAUAAAAUACAAUAAAAAAAGGGUAAGCUUUAAAUACCCCCUCGUGGUUUCACACUAUCUCACUUUAGUACCAUGUAGUUUAAAGUGUAUCAAUUUAAUACCCUGUGGUUUCGCACUUUUUCAUUUUAGUAUUCUGUGGUUUAAAGUGUAUCAAGUUAGUAUCAUGUGGUUUUAUUUUUCUCUUUUUAUUAUCCAUUUCACUAAUUUUUUUUAUUAAACUUAAUGAGUACUAAAAUGAAUAUUCAAUAAACCUAGAUAGGGUAUCUGAAGUUUUUUGUAUAUAAUUAGCGAAAUAUUAACGGAGAAAAUAAAACUCAGUGACAAAAUUAAAAACUAAAGGGUACUAAAGUGAAUAUUCAAUAAACUUACAUGGGGUAUCUAAAGUUUUUUUGAUAUAAUUUAACGAAACAUUAACAGAGGAGCCGACGAAAAGAGAAAUACAAAAUUAUAAGAUUUUAGGUUUAAGAUUCUAUGUAUUCUUGCUUUUAUUUCGCUUUGCAUAUUACGAAAUAAUUUAUCAGAUCUUCCUAUAUAUGCAAAUGAGUUCUGUUGGUGUAAAUUUGUUUUCGAUAAUACAGUCUCUGAAUCUCUGAAUCGACAAUCGAUACUAUUAAAUAUGAUUUUUGACCACAUAAAAUAUUUAGAAAUUAAAUUUCAUAUUAUUCUUUUUUUUAUACAUCAACUUGACACAAAAAUGAGAGACUAAAAAUAAAUAUUCUUCAAAAAGUAAUUAUAAAAUUUGUGUAAUCAAAAUAAAGAGUUUAAAUUUUAUUUUAAAUAGUUUUAAAAAUAUUAACAAAAACUCAACUGAUUUGAAUUUUUUUAUAACGUUAAACCAAAAAUAUCUUAUACCAACUAUUAAAAUUACAAAUUUUACAAGUUUUUGAUCCUUAGAUCAAUAAUAUUAAAAAAUAUUAAAAAUUNGCGGGAGCAGGAUGGAGUGGGGGGCUUCUGAGUUUUGUGAAGAGUGCGAAGGGAGGAGGAGGAGGAGGAGGAGGAAACAGAUGGUGGAAAGCGUGCACAGGGAGUAUUAAAAGCAGAUGCAAUUGUCAUAUGGGAAGACAAAAGAAAGAAAACAAUAAAGAAUGGGCAUUCUACUGUAUGUGUGUGUGUAUGUUCCUGUAUGCAAGAAUGCAGUGAAGCUACAUAAAAUAAUGAAGUCUAAAUGUGACUUUUAUAUUAAUUGUGCAGAAACCCUACGUGAAUAAAACUCUAUAUAAAUAUUGGGCUAAGAGCUAUCACUUAAUGUGAUUGGUGAAUAUAUAUAUAUAAAUGAGAUCUGAAAUGUAAGUUGUUGCCAUUAUUUUAUAUUUUAUUUCGUACAGAUCGAUAAUAUUUUAUGAGACAAAAAUACACACACACAUAUAUAUAUAUAUAUAUAUAUAUAUAUAUAUAUAUAUAUAUAUAUAUAUAUAUAUAUAUAUAUAUAUAUUAGGCCUUGUGUGCUAUUAGGAGCACGGAUGCCUCCGUGCUUCUAAGCCAUUUUCGAUAAUGGAGUUCUCGAAUCGACGAUCGGCUUCGUUAGACUUGAUCUAGCAUAUUUGAAAUAUCUAGAAAAUAAAUUUUGAGAUUUUUCGAUAUCAUUUACCUAGUGAUCGAAAAAGUUCAAAAUCAACAAUUUUUAAUGGUUGAUGUAUACCGUUUACAAGUUUAACGGUAUAGAAGUAUUCAAAUAAGAUAAAAUUUUGAUAGAAAAUUCUUUAUAUUAUUUACAAGAAGUUCAAUAUCUUUGAUCGAAAAUUUUAAUGUUUUAUGACCAUUUUUUUGAGAUAUUUAUUUUUAGCCGUUGAUUUUGAACCCUUUCGAUCGUUAGGUAAAUGAUAUCGAAAAGUCGGAAAAUUUAUUUUUUAAAUACUUCAAAUAUGCUAGAUCAAGUCUAACGGAGUCGAUCAUCGAUUCGGAAGCUACAUUAUCGAAAACGGCUUAGGAGCACGAAGACCUCCGUACUCCUAAUAGCACACGAGACCUACUCUCUCUCUCUCUCUCUCUCUCUCUCUCUCUCUCUCUCUCUCUCUCUCUAUAUAUAUAUAUAUAUAUAUAUAGGGAGAAGAGAGAGAGAGAGUUGUGCUAGAAUACUAUCGGUAGUAAACGAGCCGUUUUACUACCGAUUUGUUUUCGAUGAUAGAACUUCCAAAUUGACGAUCAGCUCAGUUGAACAUGAUCUAUACCACUUGAAGUAUUUAGAAAUCAAAUUUCAAAUCUUUUCGACAUCAUUUGCCUAAUGAUCAAAGGGUUUCAAAAUUUGUAAUUUUAAUGGUCGAUAAGAAGCGUUUUCUCGUUUAACGGCAUAAAGAUAUCCAAAUCAAUUGAAUUUUUGUUAGAAAAUUCUUUAAACUAUUUAAAACAAGAUCUAUACUCUUGAUCUUGAUUACAAGACUCCUAUCAUCAUUUUUUAAAGAGUAUUCAUUUUCAGNNNNNNNNNNNNNNNNNNNNNNNNNNNNNNNNNNNNNNNNNNNNNNNNNNNNNNNNNNNNNNNNNNNNNNNNNNNNNNNNNNNNNNNNNNNNNNNNNNNNNNNNNNNNNNNNNNNNNNNNNNNNNNNNNNNNNNNNNNNNNNNNNNNNNNNNNNNNNNNNNNNNNNNNNNNNNNNNNNNNNNNNNNNNNNNNNNNNNNNNNNNNNNNNNNNNNNNNNNNNNCCUCACCUAAAAGAUAUCAGCCAAGACCACACCAAGAAAAUCCUCGCAAAAGAGAACUGAAAAAUAAUAAAAAGAUACAAAUGGAAAAGAAAUAAAAUGGUAACAAGGAAAACAAAUCAGAUCAAAACCAGAUAUUAAGAAAACUAAGAUUUGCAAAAUCUCUCUCUCUCUCGUCUCUCUCUCUUGCGUCUCUCUCUCUCGGGUCUCUCCCAUCUCACUCCUCCUCUCUCGUCUAUAUAUAUAUAUAUAUAUAUAUAUAAGGGAGAAGAGAGAGAGAGAGUUGUGCUAGAAUACUAUCGGUAGUAACGAGCCGUUUUACUACCGAUUUGUUUCGAUGAUAGAACUUCCAAAUUGACGAUCGGCUCAGUUGAACAUGAUCUAUAACUUGAAGUAUUUAGAAAUCAAUUUCAAAUCUUUUCGACAUCAUUUGCCUAAUGAUCAAGGGUUUCAAAAUUUGUAAUUUUAAUGGUCGAUAAGAAGCGUUUUCCUGUUUAACGGCAUAAAGAUAUCCAAAUCAAUUGAAAUUUUGUUAGAAAAUUCUUUAAACUAUUUAAAACAAGAUCUAUACUCUUGAUCUUGAAUUACAAGACCCUAUCAUCUUUUUUAAAGAGUAUUCAUUUCAGUUAUUCAUUUUUCUGUUCACUUGAUGGAUAAAAGAAUAAUAUCGAAAGUGCGUGAAUUUGAUUUCUAGGUAGUUUUAAAUGGUUUAGAUCAUAUUUAAUGAGCGAUCUUCAUUUGGAAGCUCUAUCAUCGAAAUAUAAUUGCUAGUAAAACGCCGUUUACUAUCGAUAGUAUUCUAGCAUAACUCUAUAUAUAGAGUGAGGCUACUAUGCUUCUGGAAGCACGGAGCUUCCGUGCUUCCAGGUCGUUUUUCGAUGUUGCGACUUUCGAAUCGUCGAUUGACUCCGUUAAACUUGAUCUCGAGUAUUUGAAGUACUUAGAAAAUAAAUUUUAUAAUUUUUGAUACCAUUUGUCUAGUGAUCGAAGGGGCUCAAAAUCAAUAAUUUUAAAGACCGUGGUGAGCCGUUUGCAAGUUUGACGGUGUAGAAAUAUUCAAAUCACGUGAAAUUUUAAUAGAAAAUUUUUAUACUAAUAAUAAACAAGAUUAAUAUUUUGAUCUAAAAUUUUAAUGUUAUAUUAUCACGUUUUGUAAGAUUUUAUUUUCAGCCGUUGAUUUUGGGCCCCUCAGUUCACUAGGCAAAUGAUAUCGAAAAAUUACAAAAUAUAUUUUCUAGGUACUUCGAAUAUUCUAGAUCAACUUUAAUGGAGUCGGUUGAUGAUUCGAAAGUCGCAACAUCGAAAAUGACCUGGAAGCACGGAGCCUGGAAGCAUGGAAGGCUCCGUGUUUCCAGAAGUAUAGUAACCUCAUCUAUAUAGAAGCAUAGUAGCCGGACUCUAUAUAUAUAUAUAUAUAUAUAUUAUAAUAUAUAUAUAUUAUAUAUAUAGUCCGGCUACUAUCCUAUUAAUAGGAUUGGAGCCAAUUGUCCUAUCAAGUCGUUUGAUUGAUCGGAACUUUAAAUUGAUAAUCGCACACCAUCGAAAUUGUUCUACAAAAUUAGAAAUGUUUAGAAACUAAAUUUUGUAAUAUUUAAAAAUCAUGAUCAAAUUCAUCUUAAGAGUUAAAAAAUGAAUGUCAUAAUUGAAUAACCUUCUCAAAUAGAGUUAGACUUUCUCAAUUCAUAAUCAGAGUUAUCAAACAUAUCUAAAUAGUAUAAAGAAUUUUUAAAAAAAUUCAAGCAAUUUGGAUUGCUCUACACCGUUAAACAAGCAAACGGCUCAUAUAGGCCGUCAAAAAUUGUCGAUUUUACGACACUUUGAUCACCAUGUAAAUAAUUUUUAAAAUUUAUGAAAUUUAGUUUGCUCCUAUCCUAUUAAUAGGAUAGUAGCUCUAGUAUAUUAUAGUUGGACUGGCUACUAUUAGUAGCAAAAUUCCAUUGUUGCUACCAGUUUUUUGGCCUUUGGAUCAACUCUUUUCAUUAUUUCUAACCAUUGGAUUAAAUACUAUAACCCAGUAGGGACAUCAACCCUAGGGGGAUCACUGAACUCUAACCGACUAAUAUCAUCCUGAUCCUACAAUUUUUCAUCCAAGGUUAAAAACUUGGUAGCAAAAAGAGCAUUUAUUAUUAAUAGUAUUCCAACCUAAUUCUAUAUAUAUAUAUAUAUAUAAAAUUUAAAUUUAUGGUCAAAUUAAGGUGGGAACUAAAACUCUCUCUCUAAAAAUAAUAAUAAAAUAAAAGAAAAAAAAAAGGAGGAAUUAAAGAAAGAAAGAACACAACGGCACAAUAGCGUUUUUGGGGUUUCGUGUGAUUGUGACAAACUCCAACUCCAACUCCAACUCCAACUCCAAAGUAGGACAAAUUAAGAUUUUAUUUUUUUAUUUUUUUUCUUGUUCUAUAUAUAUAUAUUAUAUAAUAUAUAUAUAUAAAUAUAAUGUUACUAUCCUAUUAAUAGGAUAGGAGCAUUUGUCUAUCAAGUUGUUCUUGAUGAUCGAGAUUCUGAAUCGAUGAUCGGAGCCGUUGAAGUUGAUCGAGUAUUUGAAAUAUCUAGAAACUAAAUUUCAUAAAUUUUGAUAAUGGUUUACAUGGUAAUCAAAGUGUCGUAAAAUCGAUAAUUUUUGAUGGCCUAUAUGAGCCGUUUGCUUGUUUAACGUAUGUAGAGCAAUCCAAAUUGCUUGAAUUUUUGAUAGAAAAUUCUUUAUACUAUUUAGAUAAUGUUUGAUAACUCUGAUUACGAACUAAGAAAGUCUAACCUCUAUUUUAAAAAGGUUAUUCAUUUAUGAUCGUUCAUUUUUCAACGCUUAAGAUGAACUUGAUAAUGAUUUUUAAAUAUUAUAAAAUUUGGUUUCUAAAUAUUUCUAAUUGUGUAGAUCAACUUCAACGGUGCCGAUUUUCAAUUUGAAGUUUCGAUCAUUCAAAUCGACUUGAUAGGACAAGGGUCCCAAUCCUAUUAAUAGAAUAAUAGCCGGACCCUAUAUAUCUAUAUAUAUAUAUAUAUAUAUAGUUUUGCUAGAAUACUAUCGGUAAUAAACUAGCCGUUUUACUACCGAUUUGUUUUCGAUGAUAGAGCUUCCAAAUUGACGAUCGGCUCCGUUGAACAUGAUCUAUACCAUUUGAAGUGUUUAGAAAUCAAAUUUCGAAUUUUUUCGACAUCAUUUGCCUAAUGAUCAAAGGGUUUCAAAAUUUGUAAUUUUAAUGGUCGAUAAGAGGUGUUUUCUCGUUUAAGCCGUAAAGAUAUCCAAAUCAAUUGAAUUUUAGUUAGAAAAUUCUUUAAACUAUUUAAAACAAGAUCUAUACUCUUGAUCUUGAUUACAAGACUCCUAUCAUCAUUUUUUAAAGAGUAUUCAUUUUCAGCCAUUCAUUUUUCUGUUCACUUGAUGGAUAAAAGAAUAAUAUUAAAAGUGCGUGAAAUUUAAUUUCUAGGUAGUUUAAAUGGUUUAGAUCAUAUUUAACGGAGCN